Molecule: ribosomal RNA, 84 nt
Filed under: Eutreptiella gymnastica
Lineage: Eukaryota; Euglenozoa; Euglenophyceae; Eutreptiales; Eutreptiaceae
Description: partial Trypanosomatid mitochondrial large subunit ribosomal RNA
Source: RNAcentral
AACAAGCGGACGGAGUCACCAAUCACCAUGUUGUCACCCGCCGCCAUGCAUGGUGACAUGUAUGACAUGUAUGACACAUGGCAC